RNAcentral lists this unclassified non-coding RNA (187 nucleotides) under Glomeromycotina sp. RNAcentral describes it as "partial contains small subunit ribosomal RNA, internal transcribed spacer 1, and 5.8S ribosomal RNA". The stretch from base 1 to 47 matches the Rfam family "Eukaryotic small subunit ribosomal RNA", at positions 1785 to 1831 of the family's 1831-position model. The record is from RNAcentral. Lineage: Eukaryota; Fungi; Glomeromycota.
AAAGUCGUAACAAGGUUUCCGUAGGUGAACCUGCGGAAGGAUCAUUACUGAUUUGGCGGACCGAGCGUCAGCGAGGUUCCGCGAUCACCUAUAUUUAAAACCCACACCUUGAAUUAUAUAUUUUUUGUAUUUUUUUAAAUGAUAAAAUAAAAAAAGAUCACUUUCAACAACGGAUCUCUUGGCUCUC